GGGCUCACGGCCUAUCAGCUUGUUGGUGGGGUAAUGGCCUACCAAGGCGACGACGGGUAGCCGGCCUGAGAGGGUGACCGGCCACACUGGGACUGAGACACGGCCCAGACUCCUACGGGAGGCAGCAGUGGGGAAUAUUGCACAAUGGGCGCAAGCCUGAUGCAGCGACGCCGCGUGAGGGAUGACGGCCUUCGGGUUGUAAACCUCUUUCAGCACGGAAGAAGCGAAAGUGACGGUACGUGCAGAAGAAGCGCCGGCUAACUACGUGCCAGCAGCCGCGGUAAUACGUAGGGCGCAAGCGUUGUCCGGAAUUAUUGGGCGUAAAGAGCUCGUAGGCGGUUUGUCGCGUCUGCUGUGAAAGCCCGGGGCUUAACCCCGGGUGUGCAGUGGGUACGGGCAGACUUGAGUGCAGUAGGGGAGACUGGAACUCCUGGUGUAGCGGUGAAAUGCGCAGAUAUCAGGAAGAACACCGAUGGCGAAGGCAGGUCUCUGGGCUGUUACUGACGCUGAGGAGCGAAAGCAUGGGGAGCGAACAGGAUUAGAUACCCUGGUAGUCCAUGCCGUAAACGUUGGGCACUAGGUGUGGGGGACAUUC
RNAcentral lists this ribosomal RNA (595 nucleotides) under Kocuria sp. Its description in RNAcentral is "bacterial SSU rRNA". It matches the Rfam family "Bacterial small subunit ribosomal RNA", at positions 227 to 834 of the family's 1533-position model. Lineage: Bacteria; Bacillati; Actinomycetota; Actinomycetes; Micrococcales; Micrococcaceae. The record is from RNAcentral.